UAGGGAAUUUUUUUCCAAGAAUAACUUUUAAACAUUGGUCCGGGCUAUUAGCUCAGUUGGUUAGAGCGUACCCCUGAUAAGGGUAAGGUCUCUGGUUCAAAUCCAGAAUGGCCCAACGGGGGUAUAGCUCAGUUGGUAGAGCACUGCUUUUGCACGGCAGUAGCCAGCGGUUCGAAUCCGCUUACCUCCACACCGAGAAUCGAAACUUUAGAACCUUGAAAGUAUAUAAUU
RNAcentral lists this transfer RNA (231 nucleotides) under uncultured eukaryote. RNAcentral describes it as "16S-23S ribosomal RNA intergenic spacer". The stretch from base 42 to 115 matches the Rfam family "tRNA". The record is from RNAcentral.